UACGUAGGGGGCAAGCGUUGUCCGGAAUCAUUGGGCGUAAAGCGCGCGUAGGCGGCCCGGUCAGUCCGUUGUGAAAGUCAAAGGCUCAACCUUUGAAUGCCGACGGAUACUGCCGGGCUAGAGUCCGGAAGAGGCGAGUGGAAUUCCUGGUGUAGCGGUGAAAUGCGCAGAUAUCAGGAGGAACACCUACGGCGAAGGCAGCUCGCUGGGACGGUACUGACGCUGAGACGCGAAAGCGUGGGGAGCAAACAGG
Molecule: ribosomal RNA, 253 nt
Filed under: uncultured bacterium
Lineage: Bacteria
Description: partial 16S ribosomal RNA
Rfam family: Bacterial small subunit ribosomal RNA
Source: RNAcentral